This 24-nucleotide non-coding RNA is filed under the name Gossypium hirsutum (cotton). Lineage: Eukaryota; Viridiplantae; Streptophyta; Magnoliopsida; Malvales; Malvaceae. The record is from RNAcentral.
AAAUCUUCGAACCUGAGUAGGUGA